GAUGAACGCUAGCGGCAGGCUUAACACAUGCAAGUCGAGGGGUAACAGGGUGCUUGCACCGCUGACGACCGGCGCACGGGUGCGUAACGCGUAUACAAUUUACCUUAUACAGGAGAAUAGCCCCGAGAAAUUGGGAUUAAUACUCCAUGGUAUUAUAAAGUGGCAUCACUUAAUAAUUAAAGAUUUAUCGGUAUAAGAUGAGUAUGCGUCCUAUUAGUUAGUUGGUGAGGUAAUGGCUCACCAAGACAUCGAUAGGUAGGGGCCCUGAGAGGGGGAUCCCCCACACUGGUACUGAGACACGGACCAGACUCCUACGGGAGGCAGCAGUGAGGAAUAUUGGGCAAUGGAGGCAACUCUGACCCAGCCAUGCCGCGUGAAGGAAGACGGCCCUAUGGGUUGUAAACUUCUUUUAUAGAGGAAGAAACGCAGAUACGUGUAUCUGUUUGACGGUACUCUACGAAUAAGGACCGGCUAACUCCGUGCCAGCAGCCGCGGUAAUACGGAGGGUCCAAGCGUUAUCCGGAAUCAUUGGGUUUAAAGGGUCCGUAGGCGGGCAAUUAAGUCAGAGGUGAAAUCCCACAGCUCAACUGUGGAACUGCCUUUGAUACUGGUUGUCUUGAAUUAUAGUGAAGUAGAUAGAAUAUGUAGUGUAGCGGUGAAAUGCAUAGAUAUUACAUAGAAUACCGAUUGCGAAGGCAGUCUACUAACUAUAUAUUGACGCUGAUGGACGAAAGCGUGGGGAGCGAACAGGAUUAGAUACCCUGGUAGUCCACGCCGUAAACGAUGGAUACUAGUUGUUGGGUUUUCGGACUCAGUGACUAAGCGAAAGUGAUAAGUAUCCCACCUGGGGAGUACGGUCGCAAGAUUGAAACCCAAAGGAAUUUACGG
Molecule: ribosomal RNA, 888 nt
Filed under: uncultured Bacteroidota bacterium
Lineage: Bacteria; Pseudomonadati; Bacteroidota
Description: bacterial SSU rRNA
Rfam family: Bacterial small subunit ribosomal RNA
Source: RNAcentral